This is a long non-coding RNA of Triticum dicoccoides, 1189 nucleotides long. RefSeq lists it as uncharacterized. Lineage: Eukaryota; Viridiplantae; Streptophyta; Magnoliopsida; Poales; Poaceae. The transcript has 4 exons. The record is from RefSeq and is a predicted model, not a curated record.
AUGGUCUCUAGGAUGAGGUUGGAGGAUAAGUGUACGCGUGUCGUUUCUGUAGACUUUGCUCGUGUCGGUUUCACGGCCCAGCAAAAGGCGGUUUCGCGGCCCAGCAAAAGGCAGGAGUGCUUGAGCAGAAGCACCUCGCUAUCGUUGAGGCCACCACGGCCGCCUGCGGGUGCGAUGAGGAGAAGGAUCUCCUGGUGGAGCUUGGCAGCGGGAAGGAGUCGGGAGGAGGAGAUUUCACGAAAUCUGCACUUAAUCAUCGAUUCACCAGACCUGCAGGUUUGGAGGACAAAGCCUUGAUGUUGUGGCCAAACAAAGCUUGAUAAUAAACUUGCAGCCAGCAAGUUGCUUUGAUAAAUAUGUUCACUUCUACAAACUGUAGUAGCAGCAACCAGCAAGUGUUUAAACUUACAACCGUUUUUUUUCUAAUCCUUAAAUAAAUUUGUGUUAGCCUAUUUUUUUUUGUUCAUUUACAAGCUUCAAGAAAACAAGCAUAGCUAAUCUAGCAUUUGACAGGGUCUCUGUUGCUGUCUUCCUUGAUCAGAAUCCCCUCCUAGCUUCAUGAUACAUCCUCGACCAACAAUGAGGUUGAUCUAGUUUGCUGCUGGUUCAUGUAGUAUGGUUUCUAACCCAGACUAGAGUUUUUUUUUUUUUAGAGAAGACUAGAGAGUUAUUUGGGGUGCUUUCAACAAUCAGAUUCACAGUCCUUGACAACACUUCUUCUAAUUCAUGAUGUUCAGUUGAAACGUCUUCCGGAUAAGGAACUAUAAUCACAUCUACAUCACAAUGGUUUCUCUCACAACUCCUCGAUUCGGGCGAUGCAACAUCAAUCAAACAAAAUAACGGUAAUUAGUAUGGUUUGACCGCACCAAGUUUCAACUAGAUAAUACUCAAAAUUGCAGGUCUAAACUAAGGAAAGGCUCAAGUAAGAUAAGUGGAGGAGAAAGUAACCAAUGGAAAAUUACAUGAAGCAUUCGUGAAUUUGAAUCGUGUGCAAUAUAUUAUUCUAUUUGCUUGGGUCGGAUGAAAUUCAGUUUUCAUGUGACUUUGUUUGGCCUGUACAAAUCCUCCACUAAUUGAAGUGCAGUCUAUUUAGUGGUAUUUCUAUAUUUUUUGGAUGUUCUGUUUAGGCUUUAGCUAUUGUCACAGUAAUAUUUUAUUAUUGUUUUGGAUUGAGCCAUGUCGAUUAUGA